Long non-coding RNA from Dendroctonus ponderosae (mountain pine beetle), 284 nucleotides. RefSeq lists it as uncharacterized. The transcript is spliced from 2 exons. Lineage: Eukaryota; Metazoa; Arthropoda; Insecta; Coleoptera; Curculionidae. The record is from RefSeq and is a predicted model, not a curated record.
CCUACGUGGUUUACUUCAAUUAGUCAGUUUGUGUUCCAACGCUCGCUUUUUGUUCAGGUAUGGUUAGUGCACGGAGAAACCAAUAAGUGUAGCUAAUCUACCUUUUGAUGGCAUGUAUAGUUUUAUUUAGUCUACAAGGAAGCUGCGAUACAAGCAGCAGAGAAACCGUAGCAGGACAAAGAAGCGCAGAGUCGCAACCCACAUAGCAAAAUGAUAUUCCCAGAAUAUACCUGGAAUAUUCAUGUGAUGUACAUGCAUAUUACUGGGACGUACAUGAGUUCCAU